This 507-nucleotide ribosomal RNA is filed under the name uncultured bacterium. RNAcentral describes it as "partial 16S ribosomal RNA". It matches the Rfam family "Bacterial small subunit ribosomal RNA", at positions 28 to 507 of the family's 1533-position model. The record is from RNAcentral.
GACGAACUCUGGCGGCGUGCCUAAUACAUGCAAGUCGAACGCAUUUUCUUUCACCGUAGCUUGCUACACCGAAAGAAAAUGAGUGGCGAACGGGUGAGUAACACGUGUGUAACCUGCCCAUCAGCGGGGUAUAACACUUGGAAACAGGUGCUAAUACCGCAUAAUUCCAUUUACCGCAUGGUAUAUAGCUGAAAGGCGCUUUUUCGUCACUUAUGGAUUGACCCGCGGUGCAUUAGCUAGUUGGUGGGGUAACGGCCUACCAAGGGUGAGAUGCAUAGCCGAGCUGAGAGGGUGAUCGGCCACACUGGGACUGAGACAAGGCCCAGACUCCUACGGGAGGCAGGAGUAGGGAAUCUUCGGCAAUGGACGGAAGGCUGACCGAGCAACGCCGCGGGAGUGAAGAAGGUUUUCGGAUCGUAAAACUCUGUUGUUAGAGAAGAACAAGGAUGAGAGUGGAAAGUUCAUCCCUUGACGGUAUCUAACCAGAAAGCCACGGCUAACUACGUG